This 248-nucleotide long non-coding RNA is filed under the name Durio zibethinus. Its description in RNAcentral is "long non-coding RNA (DZIB_LNC001065)". Lineage: Eukaryota; Viridiplantae; Streptophyta; Magnoliopsida; Malvales; Malvaceae. The record is from RNAcentral.
UCGUUUUCUAUUUUUCACGAUUUUUGAAACUUUUUACGGAUUGGGAUUUUUUAAAAAUUUUUUAGAAGGAGUAUUGGUCGCAAACUUUCUAGACCUAAUCCUUGUAUUUUUGUUGGCAUGCACAAAAAAAUUCAGCUAAAAACUCAAAGUGUACAAGAUUUUGUGACCAUUUGAAAAAAGUAUCCCUAUUUCGGACACUUUAAUGGCUACUGGUAGCAAACCUGUAAAAUCUCAAAUGCUCUUUAAGG